GGAGGGGUGCCCGAGUGGCUAAAGGGGACGGGCUGUAAACCCGUUGGCGCACGCCUACGUUGGUUCGAAUCCAACUCCCUCCACCA
This 86-nucleotide transfer RNA is filed under the name Alphaproteobacteria bacterium. Its description in RNAcentral is "tRNA-Tyr". It matches the Rfam family "tRNA". From Rfam's summary of the family: Transfer RNA (tRNA) molecules are approximately 80 nucleotides in length. Their secondary structure includes four short double-helical elements and three loops (D, anti-codon, and T loops). Lineage: Bacteria; Pseudomonadati; Pseudomonadota; Alphaproteobacteria. The record is from RNAcentral.